RNAcentral lists this ribosomal RNA (253 nucleotides) under uncultured bacterium. RNAcentral's name for it is "partial 16S ribosomal RNA". It matches the Rfam family "Bacterial small subunit ribosomal RNA", at positions 524 to 776 of the family's 1533-position model. The record is from RNAcentral.
UACGUAGGGGGCUAGCGUUGUCCGGAUUUAUUGGGCGUAAAGAGCGUGUAGGCGGCCAGGUAGGUCUGGUGUGAAAACUCGAGGCUUAACCUCGAGAUGUCAUCGGAAACCAUCUGGCUAGAGUCCGGAAGAGGAGAGUGGAAUUCCUGGUGUAGCGGUGAAAUGCGUAGAGAUCCGGAAGAACACCAGAGGCGAAGGCGGCCUGCUGGGCCUUGUCUGACGCUGAGGCGCGAAAGCGUGGGGAGCGAACAGG